This 19-nucleotide small RNA is filed under the name Arabidopsis thaliana (thale cress). RNAcentral describes it as "ATSL302760". The record is from RNAcentral. Lineage: Eukaryota; Viridiplantae; Streptophyta; Magnoliopsida; Brassicales; Brassicaceae.
AACAAAAAAUGAAAAAAAA